GUUCUGUAAAAAAUGAAUACCUUUAAAAGUAGUUGAUGUGAGAAGCGAAAGAGUUUUAUAAUAUCAACCAUCACGCCACAAGUAAGAUCACAGAAGGACUCGUAACACCCACUCAUAACAAGGUGGUGUGCAGUUUGCUAAAAAAAAUAAAUAAAUAAAUAAAAUCGCUGUAGAAAUGUAAAAAAUAAAUUCUCGUAACAUUUUAAAACCAUCGUCACUUUUCCCUUUCCGUAAUAAGCGCAACACAAACACUUUCUGGUCCGUUCCUCUCGUCACCUUCCACCUAAGCUUCUCCGUAAGGCUUCCCUGCUCCCUCAAGUAACAUAGUAGUGAUAAUGUUUCCUCCAUAAACCCCUCCCUCUCCUCCCUCUGCUCCUCCUCCUCCUCCUGUUGCAUUUAACGUAGAGAGUAGUUGGUCCCUCACCCUCCCAUCUGUAACCCUGAACAACCCUUGGUAGAGCUAAGGACGGCAAUGUUGCAGAAAGAAAAAAACGUAAAGACGAGAAAAAAACAUCAGUACGCCUCAAAGUAACCCGGGUAUUAUUAGAAAACUCGAGAACGUUCCAGCGCUCACUACCACAAGUUGAUCUGCGUAAUGUUCCGAGUCGUCCAUUAAUAUCUGUAAUACAAAGACAUUAUUAACCCAGUAGCUGUGGGGAUCAUGUUUCUUAAAGGCCCUCUAAGCGAAUUAAUGAGAAAAAAAAAAUCAUCACUCACGCAAACCAUUAUAUAAU
This is a long non-coding RNA of Eriocheir sinensis (Chinese mitten crab), 734 nucleotides long. RefSeq lists it as uncharacterized. The transcript has 2 exons. The record is from RefSeq and is a predicted model, not a curated record. NCBI's taxonomy places the organism in Eukaryota, Metazoa, Arthropoda, Malacostraca, Decapoda, Varunidae.